CCUACGGGGGGCAGCAGUUAGGAAUAUUGGUCAAUGGGCGGGAGCCUGAACCAGCCAAGCCGCGUGAGGGAAGACGGUACAGCGUAUCGUAAACCUCUUUUGUCGGGGAACAAAGGCGGGGACUAGUCCCCGGAUGAGGGUACCUGAAGAAAAAGCAUCGGCUAACUCCGUGCCAGCAGCCGCGGUAAUACGGAGGAGGCGAGCGUUAUCCGGAUUUAUUGGGUUUAAAGGGUGCGCAGGCGGCCUGUUAAGUCAGCGGUAAAAGGCCGGGGCUCAACCCCGGCGAGCCGUUGAAACUGGCUGGCUUGAGUUGGAGAGAAGUACGCGGAAUGCGCGGUGUAGCGGUGAAAUGCUUAGAUAUCGCGCAGAACCCCGAUUGCGAAGGCAGCGUACCGGCUCCACACUGACGCUGAGGCACGAAAGCGUGGGUAUCGAACAGGAUUAGAUACCCGAGUAGUC
This 459-nucleotide ribosomal RNA is filed under the name uncultured bacterium. Its description in RNAcentral is "partial 16S ribosomal RNA". It matches the Rfam family "Bacterial small subunit ribosomal RNA", at positions 338 to 795 of the family's 1533-position model. The record is from RNAcentral.